CACCGGAAACGGCCCGCCCCGCUUUAUGGUCUCGUAAACGGCCCCAUGAAAGGGGAAGCCUCCCCUCAGGGGGGGCAGCUGUGGGACGGGGCUCCGGGCCAUGGGGGAGGGUCUCAGAAGCUCCCCAGCCCCUCCCCUCCCAGGAGCAGGUUCUUGAGCUCCGUGGUCCACGGGCCGUUACCCACCCACGCUGCACCGCGCUCUUCAAUGAACAGAUCACCCCGCGCCGCCGCGCCCCCACGAGAGGAAUGCUGUUUUGAAUUUCUACCCAAGCACCGGGACCCCUGGUCGCUGAGGAGUGAAACCCGGGCUGCUGUCCGCUCACGGGCAGGGACGGCCGGGCGCUGCCAGCUCUUCAGAUGGAGAGAAGGAGAGGAGAGCGGGAAGCUGUUGAAUGUCGGAUGUGGUCCCACUUCAGGACGAAGGACCGGCUCGGAGGUCCCUGCACGGGGGUUAACGGGCCGCGGGCUGGGUCCCGCUCGGCCUGGAAGGCCAGGCUCCGGGGUCCCCCAGAAGCCGGAGCCGUGGGCUUCCCAUGAGUCCCGAGGCGGCUGCUAAAGGACCCUCCAGAGGCGCGGUGCGCGCCCGCCGCCUGGUGAGCCCCUUCGGUCUUUAACAGACGGAGGCAGGGGAGGUGGGCGACGUGAGCGCCCAGCUCUGCGGAGGCCCCCCUCCCGCCCCUGCGGGGUCUGUACCCGCCGAGCUUGACGCCUGCGGAGGAGGCCUCCGCGCUGAGCGGCAGGGGACACGCGCCCCCCCGACCUGCGUGGCGGGCGGGGACUCUGGGCCCCGGCGACGGGCGGAAGCGGCGCCUGUCACAGGCGGGCCUCUUCCUCACAGGCCGGGCUUCUCCAGUGCCGUGACCGCGACACUCUUUAAUUUAACUCGAGCUUCUCAGGAAGCACCCGGCCACACGCCUUGGCGCCAGGCCGAGGGGGCGGGGGGCGCUGUGGAGGGCGCAGGCCACGGACCCCCGCCUGCGAAGGCCCUGAGAGAAAGACCCCAGCAAGCAGGCUGCGGGGCACCUGGCGGCGGGGACCCCAUUUGGAACGGUCAAGGAAAAGCCGGGAUCCCCUUAAGGGCCUGGGGGUGGGGUCGUCAGAACAGCCGACAGCUGGGCCCCUGCCCCAGCAGCAAAGAGGAGGGACAGUGAACCCCCUAAGAGGUGACCGCCCAGCCAGGUGCUGCACCUGCACCUGGGGGCGGGUCGUCUGUUCUUUCCUCCCGUUUCUUUUCUCUUCUCCCUUUUGCUUGGUAACUACAGGCCUAACUAACCGGCGUGUUCCUGCAGUCUUUCAGGUGACAGCCAAGAGCCGCAAGGAGCCCGCUCGGCCGGGGCCCAGGCUCCAGCUGCGGGGGGGAGUCGCGGCCCUACACAGCAAGCUUCUCGCAGGAAACGCAGGGGCGCCCGCGGUCUGUGGGCCCCAGGACGACAGGCGACGGUCCCCAGCUUCUGUGGCCCUUUCCUGGCUCACAGCGAGGGGUCUCACCAGGGACUGGCGGGGAUGCCGCUGUGUCUGGGAUGCCUGGCUUUCGCAGUGGGCUGAGAGCUAUAAUCGAUUUGGGGAUUCGUCCAGUGCAUACAUCCCCCCUUCCUGGGUUCAAGGCUCUGCUCUAUGGGUUCACAAGUAGGAUCCUGUGCCCUCCUCACCUCAGCCCCAAGAGGAAGUGACAUUACUAGUGUCCUUUUUAUGGAUGAGGAAUGAAGCACAGAGAGCCGUGUCAGGGCCACAUGGCCAGAGACCGAUUGAAUCUGUGCAGACACCAGCAUCACCACCACAGCUAUGCUGACUCCUUUUUGAUGACAAAGUAGGUUUCCGUCUUCCAAGGAUGGAUGAAAUACAGGAAGCGAAGAUGGAGGGAGAGGAGGUGGAGGGCUGAGGUGCAGAGAAGGUGGAGGGCUGAUGAGGAGAAGGUGGAGGGCCGAUGAGGAGAAGGUGGAGGGCCAAGGUGGAGAGAAGGUGGAGGACCGAUGAGGAGAAGGUGGAGGGCUGAUGAAGAGAAGGUGGAGGGCCAAGGAGGAGAGAAGGUGGAGGGCCAAGGAGGAGAGAAGGUGGAGGGCCGAGGUGGAGAGAAGGUAGAGGGCUGAGGUAGAGAGAAGGUAGAGGGCUGAGGUGGAGAGAAGGUGGGCUGAGGCAGAGAGAAGGUGGGGGCUGAGGCAGAGAGAAGGUGGGGGCUGAGGUGGAGAGAGGAGAAUGGGCUGGAGAGGGAAGGGGAGGGGCCGUCUGGUCUGGGCACCUGUGCUGCCACCCUCCACCCUGUCCUCCGGCCCCGCCACCCCAGGUCUGCCUCAUGGCCAUCCAUCUACUCCACGCAGGUCUCCUGCCUCCUUGGAAGUAGCUGUCCAUGGCUCCUGUUUGCCGGGCCUGGCGCCCCAGGCAGGACCUGCAGGGAAAUCUUAGGGCAUGAGCCUGGGCGGGGCCCGGCCAUGUUCUGUCCUCCAGCUCUUAAAAGCCUCCUACUCUUUUACAAAUCCCGGUUCAGGCCUAAAUGAUCCCGAUAAUUGAGCGCCCGCCCGCCACUUUGUUGGCAUAGACACCAUUCGUGUGUAAGCCGAGAAUAUUCUAUCUGCCAUGGAGCUCCUUCCAAAGGCAUUAUUUCUAAGCUUCUUUAAGAAACAAAUUUCCUGUUGCCAUGGAAAUCAUCUCUCGGCUAAUUUUAUCGGGCUCAGGAGCCCGGGCUGGAAGCUGCUCUCUGUUUCCCAGGUUUCCUGCUUGGCAGAGCCCUGGUUGUCUUUGUCAAAUGAGACUUCCAGACCUGCACUUCCUCUUGAGCGAGACGGUUCAGAGGAUGGUCACACGUUGGUGCUGAAUUUCAAAAGCCUCGACAUCAUCUCGGUGGGCGUUUUUAAAUGAGGAAACACACAGAGAAGAUUCAGGGCUUCGUAAAUGCCCGCUUUCUGGAAGCUGGGAGGGAACUCUGUUAAAGUGUGAGGUUUCCAAGCUAGAAAAGCCUUUAGAAAAUUCAGAGUCAACAUUUUUUGAGCACCCAGCCUGUGCCCGCUGCGGGGACCCGGGGGAGCAGGUCACCUUGCGUCCCAGGACUUGAUGACCUGACGAGAGUUCAGCUGGUUUGGCGCUGGAAAGCACUGCGAGAAUCACCUCCUGUCAGAGUCCAAUUUUGCAAACGGGCGAAUUCAUCCAAGUUGGCAUGGAGCGUUCAGAACCGAAGGCUCUCCGCUCCCGGCGUCUUUGGAUGAAGUCCGAGCUGACCUCCUGAGCGGCCCCAGCCUGUCCCAGCCUCCUCUCGCCUGGCCUGCCCUGCGCCCAGCUCAUGCCACACCUUGAGCGCCUUCACUGCCCUACCUUGCUCCUCGCACUCUGUGUCCUGUGCUUUCGGCGCCUGCUCCCAGAAACGCACUCUCGUCCACUCUUACCCCCCACCCUUCCAGGCUCACGUCCAGCUCCACCUUUUCUGGGAUUUCUCUGAGCACCAGCAGGCUCUCUGGCAGUAGCGCGCGCCCUGCCUUACUGUUAUGUGUGCGCCAUCUUGUCUCAUGGGCGGUCAUCCCGCAUCCGGGGCUUUGGGGAUGACCCGGAUCGGAGGGGGCGCUCAGGGAGUGCUUGACGAAAGCGGCGGUCUGGCAGUUGACCCUUGAGAGCCUGGACACAUAGGCACUGUCUCGAGCGGGCUGACCCCAUCAAUACCCACCCCCUCCCCCUGCCUCUAGGAGGCCCAACUACCGUUACCCUACUUUACCUCUGGGGACAGUGAGGCACAGAAAGGUCACUGCCAAAGCCACCCAGCUAGAAAUGACUGGAGCUGGGACUCACACCCCGGCGGCUUGCCUCCGGGUCUUUCAGUUUAACAGCGACUCGGAGCUGUCUCUCUGACCAGUGCCUUCUGGUCGAGGUGAAACGGCUCGUUGCUGAGUUACCAGGAUCUCCAUGGUCAACUGACCAUUCCCCCGCCACACAAGCUGUGGCCGGUGGAGCAGGGUUCAGAGCUGGGAGGCCUGCCUCAAGGCAGCUGCGCCCGCUGCUCCAGCACACUGCCUCCGAAAGGCAGCGAGAGGUUACGUGGCACUGCGCACAAAUAUUCCAGAGACCGCCUCUUCCAUGGACCUUUCUAAUUUCUCUUACUUACCUUACCUUACUCCACUUCAAGUACUCCAGUUCAGGGGAUGUUCCUACUCGACAGUACAGCAGAGCUGACGGCUUUCUCUUCUUUGGGGCAUGUGACAAAUGUCUGUGCAUGGGGUCAACUCUCUCCGUCAAAGGGAAUCCUUCCCUCAUGAGCAGAGGGCGUUCGUCUUGUUCUGUCACUUCUAUCUGAAUAAUGCCUGAAAAUUUUGAACUUCUGGAAUCAAAGGGAUAACUAGAGAGCAACGGCAUCAUCUCCCAAGGGAUGGGCGCGGAGGGCUGCGACUCCGGUGCAGGCAGCCUUCCUUCCUCGUCGGGAGGUGGGGCGAGUCCUCCAGCCUGGGAGCGGCAGGCUGGCUGCAGGGAUUGCUCGCCCUGGCCUUGCCGCUGGCCGCCCUGGCGGGGGGCCCUGCUUGUCCUGCUCAGGCUAGCCCCGUGCACAGCAGGUGCAGGCGGGAGCGGUCAGCGCUCCUCCCUGCGCCGCCCGGCCCUCUAAGGGUGCUGCUUAAAGGUCAAGGGCGUGGCAGGCGCGACGGUCGGGGGCACAAGGUCUGGGCCCCACGCUGACCGGCGUGUCUUCCUGGCCACCCUCCUGCCGUCCGCCCUGGCCUUGAGGGCUCUGUGUUUCCCUGAGCCUCCUUCCAGCCCUCUCAGGUCACGCUGGCGUCGGGCAGGCCGGUGGGCGGAGCUCCUGUGCGCCGGGCCCGCCAGGGGCAGGGGCUGUUUCCUGGGUGGCAGGAGGUGUCACCAGCUGCACGCUCCCACCCCAGCAGCAAGGCCUGGGGGCUUCCCCCGGCUCAAACACGCACGGCCCCGUGUGGGCACCGGCCGCCGUUGCCAGCCUCUCCUCUUGGGCCUGGAGCUCGUGUCUGGACUGCGGAGCAACGUUCUGCUGCAUGUUCCAGUUCUCCCGGCCGGGGUCC
This 5005-nucleotide long non-coding RNA is filed under the name Dasypus novemcinctus (nine-banded armadillo). RNAcentral describes it as "lncRNA (ENSDNOG00000049851.1)". The record is from RNAcentral. Lineage: Eukaryota; Metazoa; Chordata; Mammalia; Cingulata; Dasypodidae.